This 783-nucleotide ribosomal RNA is filed under the name Triticum aestivum (bread wheat). RNAcentral describes it as "partial small subunit ribosomal RNA". The record is from RNAcentral. Lineage: Eukaryota; Viridiplantae; Streptophyta; Magnoliopsida; Poales; Poaceae.
AUGUGGGCUGCCCUGUGGAAACUCAAAGUGAUCCCAAAGGUACGAGUAUUUUGGUGGAGGGUACUACGAGGGAUUCUACCGGAUGAGUGCACUCUCAAAUACCAUCAUAUUGCAGUUUUAGACACUUGCAAGGUUUGCUUGGCAAAGGAGGAGGAUCUUAUGCAUGCCCUCAUCCAAUGCUCGCAUGCAAGCCGUUUCUGGGAUGAAGCGUGUGCGUGGUUUGGCCUUCGACUACCUCGCUUACAUCCACGCUCAUGGGCCAGAGACAUCCUAUGUGGAGACCGAGUCAAGGAGGAAGAUCGAGGAAAGAUUAUCACCAUUAUGUGGACGAUUUGGCAUUCUCGAAAUCGGAUCAAGCAUGGGGAAGAAGGAAGGGAUCCUAGAGCCGCCAUCAAGGCGACUAGGGAGGCUCUUGCAUUGUUGGAACUGCCUCGUUCAGUUCCCAUCUUACUACCAGGGCAUGGCUGGCGACCACCUGAGCCAGGGAUGGUGAAGAUCACGACGGAUGGUGCACUUAACAUCGCAGAAGGAAGAGGAGGAGCGGGUGGUGUAGCCCGUUCCUCGUCCGCGCUGUUGGGAUCAUGGUGCAAGCCGUUUGGGGAGAUCUCGGACCCUUUGUUAAUGGAAGCUAUAUCAAUGCGGGAAGGAGUGCUAUUUGCAAAGCUUCGAGGCCUCUCGCAUGUGAUAAUGGAGACAUAUUGCCAGGAGUUGGUACAACUCUGGAACACUCGCCACAAUUCACGUUCGGUUGUGGCUCCUAUCUUAGAUGAAAUAGAGAGCUAG